UACAGAGGGUGCGAGCGUUGUUCGGAAUUAUUGGGCGUAAAGGGCGCGUAGGCGGUGCGGUAAGUCACCUGUGAAAUCUCCUGGCUCAACUGGGAGCUUGCAGGCGAAACUGCCGUGCUGGAGUGUGGGAGAGGUGCGUGGAAUUCCUGGUGUAGCGGUGAAAUGCGUAGAUAUCAGGAGGAACACCGGUGGCGAAGGCGGCCUGCUGGGCAGUAGCUGACGCUGAGGCGCGACAGCUAGGGGAGCAAACGGG
Molecule: ribosomal RNA, 253 nt
Filed under: uncultured bacterium
Lineage: Bacteria
Description: partial 16S ribosomal RNA
Rfam family: Bacterial small subunit ribosomal RNA
Source: RNAcentral